GGUUAAGCGACUAAGCGUACACGGUGGAUGCCCUGGCAGUCAGAGGCGAUGAAGGACGUGCUAAUCUGCGAUAAGCGUCGGUAAGGUGAUAUGAACCGUUAUAACCGGCGAUUUCCGAAUGGGGAAACCCAGUGUGAUUCGUCACACUAUCAUUAACUGAAUCCAUAGGUUAAUGAGGCGAACCGGGGAACUGAAACAUCUAAGUACCCCGAGGAAAAGAAAUCAACCGAGAUUCCCCCAGUAGCGGCGAGCGAACGGGGAAGAGCCCAGAGCCUGAAUCAGUGUGUGUGUUAGUGGAAGCGUCUGGAAAGGCGCGCGAUACAGGGUGACAGCCCCGUACACAAAAAUGCACAUGUUGUGAGCUCGAUGAGUAGGGCGGGACACGUGGUAUCCUGUCUGAAUAUGGGGGACCAUCCUCCAAGGCUAAAUACUCCUGACUGACCGAUAGUGAACCAGUACCGUGAGGGAAAGGCGAAAAGAACCCCGGCGAGGGAGUGAAAAAGAACCUGAAACCGUGUACGUACAAGCAGUGGGAGCCUCUUUUAUGGGGUGACUGCGUACCUUUUGUAUAAUGGGUCAGCGACUUAUAUUCUGUAGCAAGGUUAACCGAAUAGGGGAGCCGAAGGGAAACCGAGUCUUAACUGGGCGUUAAGUUGCAGGGUAUAGACCCGAAACCCGGUGAUCUAGCCAUGGGCAGGUUGAAGGUUGGGUAACACUAACUGGAGGACCGAACCGACUAAUGUUGAAAAAUUAGCGGAUGACUUGUGGCUGGGGGUGAAAGGCCAAUCAAACCGGGAGAUAGCUGGUUCUCCCCGAAAGCUAUUUAGGUAGCGCCUCGUGAACUCAUCUCCGGGGGUAGAGCACUGUUUCGGCAAGGGGGUCAUCCCGACUUACCAACCCGAUGCAAACUGCGAAUACCGGAGAAUGUUAUCACGGGAGACACACGGCGGGUGCUAACGUCCGUCGUGAAGAGGGAAACAACCCAGACCGCCAGCUAAGGUCCCAAAGUCAUGGUUAAGUGGGAAACGAUGUGGGAAGGCCCAGACAGCCAGGAUGUUGGCUUAGAAGCAGCCAUCAUUUAAAGAAAGCGUAAUAGCUCACUGGUCGAGUCGGCCUGCGCGGAAGAUGUAACGGGGCUAAACCAUGCACCGAAGCUGCGGCAGCGACGCUUAUGCGUUGUUGGGUAGGGGAGCGUUCUGUAAGCCUGCGAAGGUGUACUGUGAGGUAUGCUGGAGGUAUCAGAAGUGCGAAUGCUGACAUAAGUAACGAUAAAGCGGGUGAAAAGCCCGCUCGCCGGAAGACCAAGGGUUCCUGUCCAACGUUAAUCGGGGCAGGGUGAGUCGACCCCUAAGGCGAGGCCGAAAGGCGUAGUCGAUGGGAAACAGGUUAAUAUUCCUGUACUUGGUGUUACUGCGAAGGGGGACGGAGAAGGCUAUGUUGGCCGGGCGACGGUUGUCCCGGUUUAAGCGUGUAGGCUGGUUUUCCAGGCAAAUCCGGAAAAUCAAGGCUGAGGCGUGAUGACGAGGCACUACGGUGCUGAAGCAACAAAUGCCCUGCUUCCAGGAAAAGCCUCUAAGCAUCAGGUAACAUCAAAUCGUACCCCAAACCGACACAGGUGGUCAGGUAGAGAAUACCAAGGCGCUUGAGAGAACUCGGGUGAAGGAACUAGGCAAAAUGGUGCCGUAACUUCGGGAGAAGGCACGCUGAUAUGUAGGUGAAGCGACUUGCUCGUGGAGCUGAAAUCAGUCGAAGAUACCAGCUGGCUGCAACUGUUUAUUAAAAACACAGCACUGUGCAAACACGAAAGUGGACGUAUACGGUGUGACGCCUGCCCGGUGCCGGAAGGUUAAUUGAUGGGGUUAGCGGUAACGCGAAGCUCUUGAUCGAAGCCCCGGUAAACGGCGGCCGUAACUAUAACGGUCCUAAGGUAGCGAAAUUCCUUGUCGGGUAAGUUCCGACCUGCACGAAUGGCGUAAUGAUGGCCAGGCUGUCUCCACCCGAGACUCAGUGAAAUUGAACUCGCUGUGAAGAUGCAGUGUACCCGCGGCAAGACGGAAAGACCCCGUGAACCUUUACUAUAGCUUGACACUGAACAUUGAGCCUUGAUGUGUAGGAUAGGUGGGAGGCUUUGAAGUGUGGACGCCAGUCUGCAUGGAGCCGACCUUGAAAUACCACCCUUUAAUGUUUGAUGUUCUAACGUUGGCCCCUGAUCGGGGUUGCGGACAGUGUCUGGUGGGUAGUUUGACUGGGGCGGUCUCCUCCUAAAGAGUAACGGAGGAGCACGAAGGUUGGCUAAUCCUGGUCGGACAUCAGGAGGUUAGUGCAAUGGCAUAAGCCAGCUUGACUGCGAGCGUGACGGCGCGAGCAGGUGCGAAAGCAGGUCAUAGUGAUCCGGUGGUUCUGAAUGGAAGGGCCAUCGCUCAACGGAUAAAAGGUACUCCGGGGAUAACAGGCUGAUACCGCCCAAGAGUUCAUAUCGACGGCGGUGUUUGGCACCUCGAUGUCGGCUCAUCACAUCCUGGGGCUGAAGUAGGUCCCAAGGGUAUGGCUGUUCGCCAUUUAAAGUGGUACGCGAGCUGGGUUUAGAACGUCGUGAGACAGUUCGGUCCCUAUCUGCCGUGGGCGCUGGAGAACUGAGGGGGCUGCUCCUAGUACGAGAGGACCGGAGUGGACGCAUCACUGGUGUUCGGGUUGUCAUGCCAAUGGCACUGCCCGGUAGCUAAAUGCGGAAGAGAUAAGUGCUGAAAGCAUCUAAGCACGAAACUUGCCCCGAGAUGAGUUCUCCCUGACCCUUUAAGGGUCCUGAAGGAACGUUGAAGACGACGACGUUGAUAGGCCGGGUGUGUAAGCGCAGCGAUGCGUUGAGCUAACCGGUACUAAUGAACCGUGAGGCUUAACCUU
This 2901-nucleotide ribosomal RNA is filed under the name Escherichia coli. Its description in RNAcentral is "23S ribosomal RNA". It matches the Rfam family "Bacterial large subunit ribosomal RNA". Lineage: Bacteria; Pseudomonadati; Pseudomonadota; Gammaproteobacteria; Enterobacterales; Enterobacteriaceae. The record is from RNAcentral.